UCAGAGGGGUGAUCUGCCAGGCCACAGAAUAAGAACAGAUGGAAACAGACCUGGCCGGUGUGACCCAUCAACUCCCUUCUGCCCACCUGCACCAGAGUCCAUGAAGAGGCCUCUUUGCUCCAUGGAAAGCCUGGGCCCUCAGCCAACAGGGGGUCCCUGGGCCUAGAAGUCAGAGCAAGAUGCAGUGAUGACCUAUACUUAAUGUCCAGAAAAGGGCAUUACUCCAGGAAUCAGAGUGAUACCCCCUCAUACCAGCAACCAAAGACUUGCCAACACC
Molecule: long non-coding RNA, 277 nt
Organism: Heterocephalus glaber (naked mole-rat)
Lineage: Eukaryota; Metazoa; Chordata; Mammalia; Rodentia; Bathyergidae
Source: Ensembl